Small nuclear RNA from Penaeus chinensis, 190 nucleotides. RefSeq annotates it as U2 spliceosomal RNA. Lineage: Eukaryota; Metazoa; Arthropoda; Malacostraca; Decapoda; Penaeidae. The record is from RefSeq and is a predicted model, not a curated record. The transcript has a single exon.
CUAGCUUCGCGGCCUUUGGCUAAGAUCAAAGUGUAGUAUCUGUUCUUAUCACUUAAAUAUCUUGAUAACGAUCCCCAUGUGGGAUCUACGAUAUUAAACUGAUGUUUGAAAUGGCGAAGUGUAGGAGCGCUGCUCCACCUUGCCGCGGAUACGACCCGUAUGCUGUACCAUCGGGAUUGGUCCACUCCCU